UACGUAGGGGGCAAGCGUUGUCCGGAAUUAUUGGGCGUAAAGCGCGCGAAGGCGGUUUCUUAAGUCUGAUGUGAAAGCCAACGGCUUAACCGUGGAGGGUCAUUGGAAACUGGGAACUUGAGUACAGAAGAGGAGAGUGGAAUUCCACGUGUAGCGGUGAAAUGCGUGGAUAUGUGGAGGAACACCAGUGGCGAAGGCGACUCUCUGGUCUGUAACUGACGCUGAGGUGCGAAAGCGUGGGGAGCAAACAGG
RNAcentral lists this unclassified non-coding RNA (252 nucleotides) under uncultured Caryophanales bacterium. RNAcentral describes it as "uncultured Bacillales bacterium contains 16S-23S intergenic spacer region". It matches the Rfam family "Bacterial small subunit ribosomal RNA", at positions 524 to 776 of the family's 1533-position model. The record is from RNAcentral. Lineage: Bacteria; Bacillati; Bacillota; Bacilli; Caryophanales.